This 355-nucleotide unclassified non-coding RNA is filed under the name soil metagenome. Its description in RNAcentral is "partial contains 5.8S ribosomal RNA, internal transcribed spacer 2, and large subunit ribosomal RNA". The stretch from base 1 to 120 matches the Rfam family "5.8S ribosomal RNA", at positions 35 to 154 of the family's 154-position model. The record is from RNAcentral.
GAUGAAGAACGUAGCGAAAUGCGAUAAGUAGUGUGAAUUGCAGAAUUCAGUGAAUCAUCGAAUCUUUGAACGCACAUUGCGCCUUCUAGUAUUCUGGGAGGCAUGCCUGUUUGAGCGUCAUUAAACCUCUCUCAAGUAUGAUUACUUGGAUGUGAAGGAAGAGUACCUUAAACUUAAGGAGUCUUCUCCUUUGAAAUUGAUUAGCAGAUGGUAAUGUUAUUAAAUCCCUGAUGUUGUAAGAAAUAACAGUGGUUUUGUAGACUAUUAUCUAGCUUUAAAUUAUAAUUUUUAUUAUGGUUGACCUCAAAUCAGGUAAGGAUACCCGCUGAACUUAAGCAUAUCAAUAAGCGGAGGA